This is a long non-coding RNA of Heterocephalus glaber (naked mole-rat), 805 nucleotides long. RefSeq lists it as uncharacterized. The record is from RefSeq and is a predicted model, not a curated record. Lineage: Eukaryota; Metazoa; Chordata; Mammalia; Rodentia; Bathyergidae.
UUCUGCCUGCCAUAAACUGUUUCUCCUCCACAAUACUUAUCUGUCAUGAAACCCUGUCUUGGAGCCAGCUCAUUAUGGACUUGAAACCUCUACAAACUGCUUUGAUCUCUCUGGCUCUGUCUGCUGGUCAGUGUGAAGGCCGAGGAGUAUUGGAGUCUGGUGCAAAAUUAAACUCCUGAGAAUCUGCACCCAUUUACACCUCAGCUUAGCAGGCAUGAGCAAAUAUGAGCAAACACCACAUGACAGGAAACACUUUGAUCUUCAGGAUUCAGAGAAAAAAGGCAGAAAGAAAAAUCAACCUAUGGCUUCUUUAAUUAAAGUCUGCAUUCCUGCUGGUAUAUUUUAGGAAGACAUUAGAGUGCCAGCAAGGAACCACUAGGAUAAUGUCACAGUUCUCUUCAUUGGCAAGAACACAAGGACUAAAGAUUUUAUCUGACUUUUUGAUUUUUAUACUUAAGGAAAAAAGUAAACUCCAGAUAUCUUCCUCCCCAUCUCGAAAAUGCCAAGCAUUCAUUAUUUAUUUGGUGUGAGACAUCCAGACCCAUUUUGAUUUCAGUCUAAUUUUUCAUGAUAAAUAAAAAUAAAGGUGGGGAACUUUAGGGUUAUUUUCCCAAAUGUGAAACCAGACAGAGUCAGGAAGAGAAGCCGUAUGUUUGCCUUCUGGUUUCUUUUCUUCUUCACACUUAGGAAAGAAGACUUCACCCUAGAAAGAACACUGAUAAGGUUGAGUCAUUUAAUCCCAGACCCUGUUGUCAUUUCCACCAAAAUAAAACACUGAGGCUAAGAUUCCUCAGGCAAAACUUGA